Molecule: ribosomal RNA, 699 nt
Filed under: uncultured bacterium
Lineage: Bacteria
Description: bacterial SSU rRNA
Rfam family: Bacterial small subunit ribosomal RNA
Source: RNAcentral
AGAGUUUGAUCCUGGCUCAGAACGAACGUUGGCGGCGUGCCUAACACAUGCAAGUCGAGCGCGAACGAUUCCUUCGGGGAUCUAGUAGAGCGGCGAACGGGUGAGGAACGCGUGGGUAAUCUGCCCUUUGGUGGGGAACAACCACGGGAAACUGUGGCUAAUGCCGCAUGAGCUCCCGAUCUCCGCGGAGAACGGGAGGAAAGCAUGCCUCUGCUUCAAGCAUGCGCCAGAGGAGGAGCCCGCGUCCCAUUAGCUAGUUGGUGAGGUAACGGCUCACCAAGGCAACGAUGGGUAGCCGGCCUGAGAGGGUGAUCGGCCACACUGGGACUGAGACACGGCCCAGACUCCUACGGGAGGCAGCAGCAGGGAAUAUUGCACAAUGGGCGAAAGCCUGAUGCAGCGACACCGCGUGCGGGAUGAAGGCCCUCGGGUUGUAAACCGCUUUCAGGAGGGACGAAAAUGACGGUACCUCCAGAAGAAGGCCCGGCCAACUACGUGCCAGCAGCCGCGGUAAUACGUAUGGGCCAAACGUUGUCCGGAUUUAUUGGGCGUAAAGGGCUCGUAUGCGGUUCAACCAGUCGAUCGUGAAAGCCCGGGGCUCAAUCUCGGGACGCCGGUCGAAACUGUUGUGACUUGGGUCCGGUAAAGGUGAGUGGAAUUCUCGGUGUAGCGGUGGAAUGCGCAUAAAUCGCUAGGAAC